GACACAGAUGCAGACAAAAGGGAAGUCAUAGUAGCUUGUGAAUAGGGAGAGAUUUCAGCUGCAGCCAGCCCGGUAGCCCUUGCACAGGUGGGAGUGUCCUGUUGGGGCCCUGCCACCUGGCAGGUCUCUCUGGGGCUCAGCCAGAUGAAGGAGGAAGGCUUCAAUAUCCAGAUUUGCCCCAGGAUCCUGCAGCUCCUGAAAGGCAAGCUGGUGGUGGGUCAUGACCUGAAGCACGACUUCCAGGCACUGAAAGAGGACAU
This 260-nucleotide small RNA is filed under the name Pongo abelii (Sumatran orangutan). RNAcentral describes it as "processed transcript". The record is from RNAcentral. Lineage: Eukaryota; Metazoa; Chordata; Mammalia; Primates; Hominidae.